Molecule: ribosomal RNA, 497 nt
Filed under: uncultured bacterium
Lineage: Bacteria
Description: partial 16S ribosomal RNA
Rfam family: Bacterial small subunit ribosomal RNA
Source: RNAcentral
GAUGAACGCUGGCGGCGUGCCUAAUACAUGCAAGUCGAGCGAACAGACGAGGAGCUUGCUCCUCUGACGUUAGCGGCGGACGGGUGAGUAACACGUGGAUAACCUACCUAUAAGACUGGGAUAACUUCGGGAAACCGGAGCUAAUACCGGAUAAUAUAUUGAACUGCAUGGUUCAAUAGUGAAAGACGGUUUUGCUGUCACUUAUAGAUGGAUCCGCGCCGCAUUAGCUAGUUGGUAAGGUAACGGCUUACCAAGGCAACGAUGCGUAGCCGACCUGAGGGGGUGAUCGGCCACACUGGAACUGAGACACGGUCCAGACUCCUACGGGAGGCAGCAGUAGGGAAUCUUCCGCAAUGGGCGAAAGCCUGACGGAGCAACGCCGCGUGAGUGAUGAAGGUCUUCGGAUCGUAAAACUCUGUUAUUAGGGAAGAACAAAUGUGUAAGUAACUAUGCACGUCUUGACGGUACCUAAUCAGAAAGCCACGGCUAACUACGUG